Molecule: regulatory RNA element, 114 nt
Organism: Paraglaciecola psychrophila 170
Lineage: Bacteria; Pseudomonadati; Pseudomonadota; Gammaproteobacteria; Alteromonadales; Alteromonadaceae
Rfam family: Histidine operon leader
About the family: At least 6 amino acid operons are known to be regulated by attenuation.
Source: Rfam
UCAUCCAUCAUCAUAUAGCUUAGCCUUUCAGGUAUUUGCUGGGAGGUCUAUUGAAUCCUUCUAGCGGCGCAGACACACUCUAAACCCCCGGAAGGCAUCUUUCGGGGGUUUUUC